Molecule: ribosomal RNA, 267 nt
Filed under: uncultured soil bacterium
Lineage: Bacteria
Description: partial 16S ribosomal RNA
Rfam family: Bacterial small subunit ribosomal RNA
Source: RNAcentral
AGAAUCAACGCUGGCGGCGUGCCUAACACAUGCAAGUCGAACGCGGUUACCCCGCAAGGGGUGACUGAGUGGCAAACGGGUGAGUAACGCGUGGGUGACCUACCUUCGAGUGGGGGAUAACGUUUCGAAAGGAACGCUAAUACCGCAUGACAUCCUGCCUUUGGACAGGCGGAGAUCAAAGCCGGGGAUCGUAAGACCUGGCGCUUGGAGAGGGGCCCGCGUCCGAUUAGCUAGUUGGUGAGGUAACGGCUCACCAAGGCGACGAUC